RNAcentral lists this ribosomal RNA (802 nucleotides) under uncultured marine bacterium. Its description in RNAcentral is "bacterial SSU rRNA". The stretch from base 169 to 802 matches the Rfam family "Bacterial small subunit ribosomal RNA", at positions 875 to 1504 of the family's 1533-position model. The record is from RNAcentral.
AUCACGCCGUUACUCAAAAGAGUACGAGAAGAAAAGAAAAACAACUGGUAACCAAGGAGAGCCUGGUUACCCCAGUAGUUCCACCACGAAAGCGAGUUUCAGAUAGAUGAUCCGUUAUGAUCACCGAAAAUGCGAACCGCAGCUCCCUCACUAAAUUUGACCGCCUAGGGGCAUAGGGCUCGCAUAGGUAAAAAUCAAAUCAAUUGCAGAGGGGCCGCUCCAAUUGAUGGAUGCAUGUUUGUUUAAUUCGAUGCAACGCGAAGAACCUUACCAUCCCCUUGACAUCCAGUGAGUUUUCUAGAGAUAGAUGAGUGCCUUCGGGAACAUUGAGACAGGUGCUGCAUGGCUGUCGUCAGCUCGUGUUGUGAGAUGUUGGGUUAAGUCCCGCAACGAGCGCAACCCUUAUCCUUAGUUGCCAGCGCGUAAUGGCGGGAACUCUGGGGAGACUGCCGGUGAUAAACCGGAGGAAGGUGGGGACGACGUCAAGUCAUCAUGGCCCUUACGGGAUGGGCUACACACGUGCUACAAUGGCGCGUACAAUGGGAAGCUAACUCGCGAGAGUGUGCGGAUCUCAAAAAGCGCGUCGUAGUCCGGAUUGGAGUCUGCAACUCGACUCCAUGAAGUCGGAAUCGCUAGUAAUCGUGGAUCAGAAUGCCACGGUGAAUACGUUCCCGGGCCUUGUACACACCGCCCGUCACACCAUGGGAGUGGGCUGCACCAGAAGUAGAUAGCUUAACCUUCGGGAGGGCGUUUACCACGGUGUGGUUCAUGACUGGGGUGAAGUCGUAACAAGGUAGCCGUA